GAACGUCCCAGUUCGGAUUACAGCCUGCAACCCGGCUGUAUGAAGCUGGAAUCGCUAGUAAUCGCAAAUCAGAAUGUUGCGGUGAAUACGUUCCCGGGUCUUGUACACACCGCCCGUCACACCAUGGGAGCCAGGAAUGCCCGAAGCCAGUGGCCUAACCGCAAGGGAGGAGCUGUCGAAGGCAGGCCCGGUAACUGGGGUGAAGUCGUAACAAGGUAUC
Molecule: ribosomal RNA, 220 nt
Filed under: uncultured bacterium
Lineage: Bacteria
Description: partial 16S ribosomal RNA
Rfam family: Bacterial small subunit ribosomal RNA
Source: RNAcentral